AAUCUAGCUAUAAUGAUGAUAUCAUAGUUCAGCUGAAUUUUUUUUGUUGAUCAAAAGUCUUUAGUCUUUUGCUCCUAUCUGAUCGAGAAU
Non-coding RNA from Rhizophagus irregularis DAOM 197198w, 90 nucleotides. NCBI's taxonomy places the organism in Eukaryota, Fungi, Glomeromycota, Glomeromycetes, Glomerales, Glomeraceae. The record is from Rfam.